CUGUCUUCUUUAUGCCAGAAGAAUGGAAACAAUAUUCUUUUCCGAUCAGUUGAGUAAUGCAGUGUCCUUCAGUCUCCAUAUGAGCAUUUCAGUGGAGAAGAAAAGAAACUUUGCUACCUGGGAGCUGAAGACUACUUAGUGGAGUUUCAGGCGUUCCCCAUCUUGCCAAGACUGUGACACUCCAGGAAAUCUCUACUACUAAAGAACAACAGAUCUAGAACGUCUCUUAGAUGAAACAACUACUGAUUUCUCUUCUUUGGCUCUUCCUUGGACCACAGAAGAAUUAUUUGACAGAGACUACUGACAACAGGGAGCAAUUCUGGUGCAAAUAAGGGUGUCUGUGUUGCCUUUAAGGAAAAGGCUCACGAAAAAGCUGCCAGAGAAUCCGAGGCUCACACAACCAAGUGACGUUUCCAAAUGUACAAGCAAAAUCCAUGGAACUGAGGAUUCCUGACCUCCUAUGGCCCUGUGUGUUCAGACUCUGCUCUGUCUGUGGAGGAGAGGAAAGUGAUGCUCACCGACCAUCCUCAGUGCAGGGCAACGAGCCACGUCAUUGGGGAGGAUUGACUGGCUCCCCUGCCAUAAAGAGGGCAUGCUGAGGACGACAGACUGGAGUCCCAGACCAGGCCUGCAGGAGAGAAUUCAUUGCUAUGUCGAAUAUGGAGCAAGCAACCAAGAGGCCUGGUGGGAAGCUUCUCAGUGACCAGCACAGUUAGUGGAACCCAAGUAAGAAAACUUUGCAGAAUAAUAGUCUGCUGGCACCAAAGGGUUUGUGACACAUUACCUCAUUUUGACAUCGUAUCAGUUUUAAGAUCCUGAUUGUGAAAUUAAGUGAACUCCAUUUUCUGGAUGUUGAAACUGAGGGGAGAGUUGUUAGCUGAGAUAGAAUAAGUGGCCCAGAUAGGAAUCAAGUCUACCGUUGUGUAAGCCUAGAGCUCGUUUGGCCACGACACGUUGUCAAGUGUCUUCAAGCAAUCCUGGCAAGGGAGCUCUGGUGGGGGUCAGGGUGCAGUCCGUAGAAACACGGUAUAUUAGUAUCUGCAAACUGAUUCUCAUACCGGUUCCCACUGAGCUCUAUUUAGUUCUACUACCCUUCUGAAAUUGGUGGCAGCUCUGUAGUGAACCAAAGCCACAAGUUCACAGACUGAACUUGGAGUUGAAAUCAUCAAACUCCAUUCAUUUCAGACCACAGCUCCUUCAGGGGCUCUUUCUCGACAGGUAACGCAGAGGCUACAGGAAUAAAGACCAGACACAACAGUGAUAACUUACAGCAGAAGAAGCUGUGGGCUACUUAGAUGGUGGGGAUGAUACCACCUGCCAGGUGGGUUAGAAUGCUGAGAUCCUCUUUCUCUGAAAAACACAUCAUCUGGACAGAUGGACCUUGAAUCUUUACUCAGACAGUGGACACCACGCCUGUCUCUCCUGAGCAGCCCCACGUGAAUGUCCGCCUGUGUGAUACACUCGUGCCAGUCAGGGCAUGAAGCAGAGGCGAAUGGUUUCCAGUCACCACCUCCCAUUCCGAGCAGAAGCUGCACAAGCUUGUUACUUAUACCACACUCACCUGGACUCAGAGACCUCGGGCACCCAGCGUGCUGUCUCCCCGAGCUAUUCCCCUGAUGAGUUAUAGAGGACCUCAACACUACAGCGCACACAGAGGCUGGACUCGGACCCCACACCCCGGGGUGGGAGCACCCCACCCCGGCAGGAUGUGCGCUCUUCUCCCGCCCUCCUCUGGCCGAGGCACCGUCCCAGCUGGGCACUGCCUUGCCAUGCCUCGCAUCUUCCACAAGGGGGAGCCCCCGGAGGGCAGCUGGGGCUGCGGAAUUUUGGAAGCACAGAAGUUUUCUGCUCCUGUCCUGUAACUGAUUUUCACUCACCCAACUGUGAGAUUUCUUUGUUGCAAUGUUGGGGUCUGAGACAACACUUGUGGAGGCUGCAGACGAGAACCAUGGAUCAUAUCUUUUAUUGUUGUUAUUUACCUGGCAUUAUAAAUUAAGGAGGCAAAGUAACAAAGAGCUUGAAGACAUGCACAGCUCACAGGCCCUGGGUGGAGGCUGGUGGCAGCAGACAGAGCCAAGACAGCGGAGGGCCAACCAGGAGGUGCCUGUGGCUGCAGGACACAGGAUAUGAAUCAGAGAGAAAGAACUGAAGUCUCAUCCCAGGAAGAAAGGGGAGGACAGGCAGAGGAUUUUUCACUGACUUGUCAUUGGAAAAGAUUAGAAGAGCCUGUAAACUUGGCUUCCUCAUUUCUGCUCCUCAGGUGAGUCUCUCACAUUUAUUUCUAUUGUGUCAUAAAAGAACAUUUUCCCAGAUUUCUGUUGAAGAACUCACAAAAUCUUUGUGACGCUGCUGCUCUUUUAGAAUUAACCAUGGAAAAACUUGAUGACGCUUCCAUGUUUCUUGUAAAAUUCAUCUUUGGAGUCAUUUUACAGUGUGUGUUUUCCCCUCGGACGGUUUAAAGAGCUGGAUUUCCGUCUCUUUGCAGAGCAUUCUAGCAGCUGUGUCUCAUUUGCUUUGCAAGGGCAUUUGAAGAAAUUGCUAUUUUAGAAGCUGCUUAACAUAUGGGAUAAUUGUUUUAAAGCACUUCACAGUUUGCAGAGUGCUUUCCCGUUAUUUUAUCUAGCCAUUUCUCAGAGAGGCCCAGGAAUUACCAUUUACAUUUUUCAGAAAGGGAAAUAAAGGUUCUGAAGAUACAACGUAACAAACAGCAGCUUGGAAGGGCAAUGAAUACUCUAAAUUCAUCGACAGAUUUAAUCAAAACCCUCAAAACCUCCUGCCUUUUGACCUAAGCAGGUAGCCAGAUGUACCAGCUGUGCCUCUCAAGAGCAUGUGGUCUGGCUAGUUUAGAUCUUCUCUAAUCAAGAGCUGCUUCUAUGAUUGGAUAUUAGGACACUGUUCAGAGAGUCCUUUAACUCAGUGGUUCUCAACCUUCCUAAUGCUGCGACCC
Otolemur garnettii (small-eared galago) is the source of this 2947-nucleotide long non-coding RNA. RefSeq lists it as uncharacterized. The transcript has 6 exons. The record is from RefSeq and is a predicted model, not a curated record. Lineage: Eukaryota; Metazoa; Chordata; Mammalia; Primates; Galagidae.